Molecule: ribosomal RNA, 403 nt
Filed under: uncultured bacterium
Lineage: Bacteria
Description: partial 16S ribosomal RNA
Rfam family: Bacterial small subunit ribosomal RNA
Source: RNAcentral
GACGAACGCUGGCGGCGUGCCUAAUACAUGCAAGUCGAACGCAGUGGGGACGGGUGAGUAACACGUGGGUAACCUCCCAUCAGAGGGGAUAACACUUGGAAACAGGUGCUAAACCGAUACUGAUGGAUGAACCAGCGGUGCAUUAGCUAGAUGGUGAGGAAAAGGCUCACCAAGGCCACGAUGCAUAGCCGACCUGGGAGGGUGAUCGGCCAAACUGGGACGGGGAAAAGGCCCAGACCCCGACGGGAGGCAGCAGGAGGGAAUCUUCGGCAAUGGACGAAAGUCUGACCGAGCAACGCCGCGGUAGUGAAGAAGGGUUUCGGAGCGGAAAACUCUGUUGUUAGAGAAGAGGUAUCUAACCAGAAAGCCACGGCUAACUACGUGCCAGCAGCCGCGGUAAUUC